UUCCACCAAUCCUCAUUCCUGAAUACAUUUGUUCAGUUCUCUGAUUUUCUCUUAAGCUUUUCUUCCUUCGUUUCCUACAAUCUCUCAUAGGCUUUUCAGGCUUAUGUUAUUAUCAAAGGUUUCUCAACUAUUAAGUUCUUUUUGUUCCUUGAAAGGGCUCUAAUCGAUUUACCAAGGAUGCCAAAUCCAUUGGCUAGUUUUGUUUGUUUACUGAUAAAGCAGAUCUUGAGUGACGACCGUUUGGAAGGCAUAAGUAAACUGUAAACCAACUGGAGGAGGAUCGAAUGGAAAGAAAUCUGAACCUAGUGAAUCUAUGUAACGGAACUCAAAGCAGUUUUGUUGAGUUGGUCAGUGAGCUCUUCAUCGUUGAGUCUUUUUCCGCCUUGGUAAGUUGUGCUUAUUGGCCCAGUGAACUGUUCAUGCCUUUAAAAACUUCCUUGGUACAGCUGACUCCAAAGCUCAAGGAAGGAACAAGUACCUCGAGAUCAUCAGUUGCUGAGAAGUUUAAGAGGCAUCCUUACAGUUUAAACUGGGUGGCUGCUGUAACUCAGUACGGGCAUGUAGCAGCGACUAAUCUUCAUGCUUAUGAAGGGAACACCAGAGAUUGUAAAGACAAAGGCAUGGGAUGGUUAAAGAUAGAGAGAUAGUUGACAAAGGAGAAAUCUCACUUAAAGAACUCAUGGGAGGUUGAUGAUGAUGAUGAUGUUGGUUCUGAGGAUGAGUUGUGGAUAGUCAAAUAGUCUUUAACCUGAUUCUUCUACUUUAAAUAUCUGAACCAUUGAAUGUUACACCAUUUUAAACAAUUUUCCAAAAGAAAGUAAGAGCUUUUCAAGAGAUAGGAACAUGUUUGCAUUUUGGAUUUAGAAAGACACAUAAGAGGGAUUCUCUACUGGUGUAAUAACA
Molecule: non-coding RNA, 903 nt
Organism: Camelina sativa (false flax)
Lineage: Eukaryota; Viridiplantae; Streptophyta; Magnoliopsida; Brassicales; Brassicaceae
Source: RefSeq, a predicted model, not a curated record